Molecule: ribosomal RNA, 220 nt
Filed under: uncultured bacterium
Lineage: Bacteria
Description: partial 16S ribosomal RNA
Rfam family: Bacterial small subunit ribosomal RNA
Source: RNAcentral
GGUAACACCUGGAAACAGAUGCUAAUACCGGAUAACAACACUAGACGCAUGUCUAGAGUUUAAAAGAUGGUUCUGCUAUCACUCUUGGAUGGACCUGCGGUGCAUUAGCUAGUUGGCAAGGCAACGGCUUACCAAGGCAAUGAUGCAUAGCCGAGUUGAGAGACUGAUCGGCCACAUUGGGACUGAGACACGGCCCAAACUCCUACGGGAGGCAGCAGCG